This 67-nucleotide small RNA is filed under the name Sinorhizobium meliloti 2011. RNAcentral's name for it is "putative ncRNA". The record is from RNAcentral. Lineage: Bacteria; Pseudomonadati; Pseudomonadota; Alphaproteobacteria; Hyphomicrobiales; Rhizobiaceae.
GACCUGUCCGGUAUCAAGCGCCCGGACCGCGGCCGUGGCCACUGGACCGUCCGCGGCGUCGCAAUGG